GACGAACGCUGGCGGCGUGCUUAACACAUGCAAGUCGAACGGGCCUUGUCCCCUUUUUUUUGGGGGUGGGGUUAGUGGCGAACGGGUGAGUAACACGUGAGUAACCUGCCCCUCACUUCUGGAUAACCGCUUGAAAGGGUGGCUAAUACGGGGUGUUCUGGCCUGCUCGCAUGGGUGGGUUUGGAAAGAUUCGACCGGUUUUGGUUGUUUUGGUGGGGGAUGGGCUCGCGGCCUAUCAGCUUGUUGGUGGGGGGAUGGCCUGCCAAGGCUUUGACGGGUAGCCGGCCUGAGAGGGUGGGCGGUCACACUGGGACUGAGACACGGCCCAGACUCCUACGGGAGGCAGCAGUGGGGAAUAUUGCACAAUGGGCGCAAGCCUGAUGCAGCGACGCCGCGUGAGGGAUGGAGGCCUUCGGGUUGUGAACCUCUUUCGCCAGUGAAGAAGGUCCUGCUCUUUGUGGUGGGGUUGACGGUAGCUGGGUUAAUGAAGCGCCGGCUAACUACGUG
This 507-nucleotide ribosomal RNA is filed under the name uncultured bacterium. RNAcentral describes it as "partial 16S ribosomal RNA". It matches the Rfam family "Bacterial small subunit ribosomal RNA", at positions 28 to 507 of the family's 1533-position model. The record is from RNAcentral.